Molecule: ribosomal RNA, 660 nt
Filed under: Kineosporia sp. I12A-02610
Lineage: Bacteria; Bacillati; Actinomycetota; Actinomycetes; Kineosporiales; Kineosporiaceae
Description: bacterial SSU rRNA
Rfam family: Bacterial small subunit ribosomal RNA
Source: RNAcentral
GUUGACGCUGGAGCUUGCUCCAGCUGAUCAGUGGCGAACGGGUGAGUAACACGUGAGCAACCUGCCCUUGACUCUGGGAUAACCCCGGGAAACCGGAGCUAAUACCGGAUACGAACCGCACAGGCAUCUGCGUGGUUGGAAAGAUUUAUCGGUCAAGGAUGGGCUCGCGGCCUAUCAGCUUGUUGGUGGGGUAACGGCCCACCAAGGCGACGACGGGUAGCCGGCCUGAGAGGGCGACCGGCCACACUGGGACUGAGACACGGCCCAGACUCCUACGGGAGGCAGCAGUGGGGAAUAUUGCACAAUGGGCGAAAGCCUGAUGCAGCGACGCCGCGUGAGGGACGAAGGCCUUCGGGUUGUAAACCUCUUUCAGCAGGGAAGAAGCGAAAGUGACGGUACCUGCAGAAGAAGCACCGGCUAACUACGUGCCAGCAGCCGCGGUAAUACGUAGGGUGCAAGCGUUGUCCGGAAUUAUUGGGCGUAAAGAGCUCGUAGGCGGUCUGUCGCGUCUGCUGUGAAAACCUAGGGCUUAACCCUGGGCCUGCAGUGGGUACGGGCAGACUAGAGUGCGGUAGGGGAGACUGGAAUUCCUGGUGUAGCGGUGAAAUGCGCAGAUAUCAGGAGGAACACCGGUGGCGAAGGCGGGUCUCUGGGCCGUAA